Molecule: long non-coding RNA, 141 nt
Organism: Octopus sinensis (East Asian common octopus)
Lineage: Eukaryota; Metazoa; Mollusca; Cephalopoda; Octopoda; Octopodidae
Exons: 3
Source: RefSeq, a predicted model, not a curated record
CACCACCGGAUCCAGCGGAAGACGAUAACUGGAAACUGAUUCUGUUUAUUGUACUUCCGGUGUGUUUGGCUGUUGUGGCGUUUAUUGUGGUCGCCAUUUUGGUGCGGUGUCUUCGAAGACGGAAAGCAGCAAAACAGGUCG